RNAcentral lists this ribosomal RNA (428 nucleotides) under uncultured marine bacterium. RNAcentral's name for it is "bacterial SSU rRNA". It matches the Rfam family "Bacterial small subunit ribosomal RNA", at positions 360 to 804 of the family's 1533-position model. The record is from RNAcentral.
AAUCUUGCACAAUGGGCGAAAGCCUGAUGCAGCAACGCCGCGUGGGUGAUGAAGGCCUUAGGGUUGUAAAUCCCUUUUGCCGGGGAAGAAUUUUGACGGUACCCGGCGAAUAAGCCACGGCUAACUACGUGCCAGCAGCCGCGGUAAGACGUAGGUGGCGAGCGUUAUCCGGAUUUACUGGGCGUAAAGCGUACGUAGGCGGCUCCAUAAGUCUGUCGUGAAAUCUCCCGGCUCAACCGGGAGCGGCCGAUGGAAACUGUGGCGCUCGAGGGGCGUAGAGGCAAGCGGAAUUCCCGGAGUAGUGGUGGAAUGCGUAGAUACCGGGAGGAACACCAGUGGCGCAAGCGGCUUGCCAGACGCAUCCUGACGCUGAGGUACGAAAGCGUGGGUAGCGAACCGGAUUAGAUACCCGGGUAGUCCACGCCGUA